GGGUAACGUCAUCAGAGCGCACCGGAAGUGGCUCCAGGAUGAAGAGUAAGCGGGGUUGAAGGUGUGGUCUACGUGCCUUUUCUCAGAAAGAGGCCAAGGAGUUGGAUGUAGACGUACAGUGCAUGGCAGGAAGUCUGGGAGCAGCGGAGAUACAGUCUUUUUCUCCCUCUGCAUGAACUCUGGAAACAGUACAUCCGGGACCUGUGCGGGGGACUGAAGCCUUGCCCCUUGGGGUAGAACCCAAGUCUUACGAUCACUGUAAACGCAGCCUUCGGAGCCAGCCGGCUGCAGGAGUUUGUAGACCUGUGUGCUCCCUCCAGAAUCUUGAUGGUGGUCAACACUGAGGGCUUCUGUUUACCUCCUAGACAGCCACGGAUGAUUCAGGCCAAGCGGUUAAAGGCAGAUCUUCAUGGGGCUGUUGUUUCAGUCACAAAAUCCAAAUGCCGCUCCUAUGUGGGUGUUACAGGAAUCCUUCUACAGGAAACAAAGCAUGUCUUCAGAAUCCUCACCAAAGAAGACCGCCUGAAAGCUAAACUGUGUGUUCACAGUGGAAAUCGAUGGCUUCAUUUCCUACAUUUAUGGAAGCAAAUUCCAGGUUCGGUCAAGUGAGUGAUCUGUCAAGAAGUUCAAAGCCAAGGGAACAGUUGACCUGUGAGCUGUUUGCCGCGGACGCAACUGUUUUGACCCCAAGCACCAGGAACACCUGAGUGCCCACGUGUCAGCGAACAGAUGGCCGGGUCGGCUCUGGUUCUAGAGCGCCCCCCCCAGCCCAUUAACACCAGAGUUAGGAACAAUUCAUCAUCCGUAUUGAGCAAAGAAGGCCGGGAACAGAGGGAUGUAUGUUUCUAGGUGAUGACGGGCGUGUUCUGCUCCCGUGAGAGGAAACCCUGGCAGGAUCCGCACAGGUUGCCCUGAUUGGUGCCAGUGUGAGGUUUUUAUUUUUUUCUCAUCCUCCCUUGUGUCUCCUGAAUGUUCUGUGAUGAAUCGUGGCUUAUGUACUAAUAAAACACACGUGUCGGCACAAGAGGCUCCUGGUGAAGGCUGAGCCCUGCGGCACAGCCAGGCCGGAAGGGAAGCAGCCCGAGGCUGAGCCUGGCGGGGGCCCCACUUCUGCCCUGUAGACAGAGCGUCCCAAGGGCAGGGGCUUGGCCCAUCUGAGGUGUUGCUUUACAUCACGCCCCCUGUGGAACUCUGGGACCGAACGGCGGUCUCCUGUGCUGUCUCAGGAAAGUACGGAGUGAGCGGUGAGGUCGCAGAGGGACUUUGGGCUCAUGGGCUCUGGAAUGGGCACUGGGAUGGGCCCGGAGGCAGGCUGCCCGGUCAGGUGCUGCUCCCCAUGGGCGUUCAGUACACGGAGCUUGAACGACAGAGCCUUCUCAAUCCCGUGGCUCUUGGGCUCCAGGGCAGGUCGGCUGACAGGGAACGAGACUGCAGCUCUUUCCAAGCGCUCACGUCCUAGGAGAGCCGGAGUCCGCACCAGGGACUCCGCUGGUCCCUACUGCCUGCUGCCGCCGGAAGCCUUGGCUCUUGGGUCUGACUCGGCCCACGUGGCAUGUGCCUACCGGCCACUAGGGGAGGGGCUCGCAAGCAGCCCUGAGUGGGGAUGGGGCUCGUGCGGCUUCUAGCCUGUGGUGGUCGGAAAGCCGUGUGGCUCAGAGGGACCGAUGGCCCUAUUCCUUUGAGAAGUCAGCGUCUGCCGACCGGCCAGGUGAGACAGAAACACUGCUGGGAGCAAACCAGCUGCAAAUCCGUGAGCUUUUUCUUUUGCUCCAGGAGAAGCAGCAGCACUGGACACUGGGCUCUGUCCGUGUGUCCCGCUGGCCCACACUGGAGGAGAAGAGCCCUGGGCCAGGAAUGUAAACUCUGACUCUGACGGGGGCACAGGAAGGCCGCGCUCGGUGCCGCUGCGCCUCUCAAAGCCUGGGGCUGCACCCGUGUCCCUCCGUGCAGGCUCCGUGGCUCAUCAGGUUGGUCCAGGGCUGGCUCGGAUGUGCUCCUGCUGCCGCCGUCACGGCCUGUGCUGCUGGUCUCAGAUCCCAGCCCCACCGGGGACAGGGCAGCAGGCCCGGCCACUGAGCCCUGUUUUCUGACAGCCUGGUUUUGCCACAACGGACUCAGCCUCAGUCCUCACUCGCCCAGGGCCUCACCACCUGAGAGGGUUGAGCUGGGAUUUGACCCCCAUGGUCUGGCUGCAGAACCGUGCUUUUGACCACGGGAUGAGAAGAUUCUGCUGUACAUGUGUAACGUGGUCCCUUUAGCACUGGGCUCCCACUGAGGAGGUCACUGCCUUCUACGUGGAGUGGCUCAUUGUUCCGACCAUCCGAAUGUGCCUCUCCGGUAACGGCCGGGGUGCUGUAGUUCCCUGAACCACACUGCUCGUGCCCACCCCCCGUAAUGGAAAAGGCGGGCAGCGUGUAAAUAUACAGCUGCCUUCCAGAAAUGCUGUUGGUGCCACUUGGCUCGUGAAAUCUGUUUUUCAUGGCGCAGACUCACGUUUCCGUGUGGAUGGCUGUUUCAUUGGUAGCCUUCUCUCCCCCCUUCCCCGAGGACACUUGACAAGAACACUCACCUGCCAUGAAGCUGCCACUGUGCCUGCCUGUGUCCGGGAUGCCCUGUUGUCCCUGCAGCCCACCCGGCGCCACUGGGUCUGUUCCCUGAGGACGUGCCAUCCUCCGAGGGCCCAGGCCAGGCAGGAUGCCGGCUCUCGGUGAGCGUCCUGAUGAAGCGGCACUCACUGCUCCCCAGAGCCAGGCCGAGGCCUCUGGAGGUGCCCCGGGGCUGGCCACGUUCCCGUGGCUGUGGCUUAGGGCCGCUUGUGGAUGGCGCUGUGGUAGUUUGCAGUCCAGGACCCCAGUAGAGCUGCGGCCUUGGGGCUGUUGGCUCGUGGGAGACACAGCUGCAUCGGCCUCAUGUGUCAGUCUUCCCGCACCGGAGAAACCAGAGAGACCCGCGCAGAAGCAGAGUGGUGACCAGCUCAGGACGAGACUCAGGAGCCACAGGGCCAGCAGACAGCAGCCCGGGGACCCGCUGUUCUCCAAAAAGCAUUAUUCCCCAGAGCUGACUCCGUGUGGAGGAUGGGGCCUUAGUGCAGGGCCCACCGGGGACAGGCCGGAGCCUCUCCAGGGGAAGAAAAGGACAAAGCAGCUGGAGGGGAAGGUGAGGGGCGGCACGGGCCAUGGCCACCGUGUUUUAGUGUGGGCUGCCGUAACACACUGCAGAUGGGCAGUACAAACAACAGAACAUUCUACCCACCGCUCCAGAGGCUGGAAGUCCAAGAGUAAGGUGCCUUCAAGCUUGGGGUGUGGUGAGAGCGUUCUCCUUGGCCACCUUCUUGCUGUGUCCCCACAUGGCCUUCCUUAGUGCACACCUGCAGAGAGAGAUGUGGUGUUUCUUCCUCCUCUUAUCAAGACACCAGUUGUGUGGUUAGGGCUCCACCUGUAUGACCUCAUUUCACCUUAAUUACCCCCUGAAGGCUCUGCUUCUCAGUGCAGUCACAUUAGGGAUGAGGACUUGGACAGGAGUUCGUGGGGACAUAAUUCCGUCCACAAUCGCCAUGGAGCUGCCCCACCCAGGAUAGGAACGCCCUGUUGGAGCCCCUCAGAAAGGCUGCAAGACCCACUGGCUCCCAUCUGCCGACACGGGCCUGGCCACACCCCUGCUCAGGGUGCUUGCGCCACUAGCGGGUUCAGUCAGACCCGCCGCUGGACGCUGAGCUCCCCUCACCACUGGGUUCCAUGACUGGCUCAGGCAGGAACGUAGGUCCCGCGGCCCCUCCAUUGCCAGCUUCCCCUUCACUUCUGUGAACCACUGAGCUCCUCCCUCACCCUCCCAUCGGGGCCAGGCACAGUGGUGGGAGAGGAAAUGGGCACACAGGUGGCAGGGUGGAUAGGGAGGCUCCCUGGAGGAGGGGGCUCGAUCCAGGCAGCUGUGGGAUGUGAAGAGUGACACGGAGGCUCAGGACCAGCCUGGCGGAGCAGUCGUGGAGGCCCCAGGACAUCAGCUGCCCGUGAGACUCAGGGCCAGCAGGAAGGAAGGUGGGAAGGGGUGGUGGGGCUCUGGCUGCCAGUCCCAAACCCAUAGGAGGUGCGUCAGGUCCUGCCCAGUUCAGUGGGAGGAGAGCGGCGCUAGAGAAGUUUUAAGCCUCGGGUCAGGGUGCGGAAUCCUGCUGACCCGGUCGCCCAGUGCUGACAUCUGGGGGCCUCCGUGUCACCAUCUGGCAAAGUGGGGCCGUGAGGCCAGAUGAGGGUUUUCUGAAGGGGGAUCCUGGAACUUCGUGCAUCUGCACUGGUGUCAGCAGGACACCUGCUAAAAGCUGCCAGCUCCUGGGCUGCAGUCAGACUCCAGGGCUGGGGCCCAGACAGCUUCGUGUGUCUCUCAGACCCCAGCUGGCUCCUCCAGUCACUGAAGUGUGAGGUUCGCGGACUCCAGAUGGUGUCUAAUGUGUCUUCCAGCUCUGACGUCUGGACUGUGAUUUAAGAUUUGGGACUCUCGGGAUGGUGUUUUCCGGAUGCUGGAAAAGAUUGUCAGAUGACUGAUCUCUCAGGUUCUGAAGAGUAAACAUGAGCAUUCCCCCCACAAGCCAUAAAUUAUGGUAAAAAGCUUGCUUUCUGGACAAUAGCUUUCGU
Ailuropoda melanoleuca (giant panda) is the source of this 4625-nucleotide long non-coding RNA. RefSeq lists it as uncharacterized. Lineage: Eukaryota; Metazoa; Chordata; Mammalia; Carnivora; Ursidae. The transcript is spliced from 5 exons. The record is from RefSeq and is a predicted model, not a curated record.